Molecule: ribosomal RNA, 389 nt
Filed under: uncultured bacterium
Lineage: Bacteria
Description: bacterial SSU rRNA
Rfam family: Bacterial small subunit ribosomal RNA
Source: RNAcentral
GACGAACGCUGGCGGCGUGCUUAACACAUGCAAGUCGAGCGGUAAGGCCCUUUCGGGGGUACGACGAGCGGCGAACGGGUGAGUAACACGUGGGUGACCUGCCCUCAGCUCUGGGAUAAGCCUGGGAAACCGGGUCUAAUACUGGAUAUGACUCCAUGACGCAUGUUGUGGGGUGGAAAGCCUUGUGCGGCUGAGGAUGGGCCCGCGGCCUAUCAGCUUGUUGGUGGGGUGAUGGCCUACCAAGGCGACGACGGGUAGCCGGCCUGAGAGGGCGACCGGCCACACUGGGACUGAGACACGGCCCAGACUCCUACGGGAGGGCAGCAGUGGGGAAUCUUGCGCAAUGGGCGAAAGCCUGACGCAGCGACGCCGCGUGAGGGAUGACGGCC